Molecule: ribosomal RNA, 477 nt
Filed under: uncultured anaerobic ammonium-oxidizing bacterium
Lineage: Bacteria
Description: bacterial SSU rRNA
Rfam family: Bacterial small subunit ribosomal RNA
Source: RNAcentral
UUCGCAAUGCCCGAAAGGGUGACGAAGCGACGCCGCGUGUGGGAAGAAGGCCUUCGGGUUGUAAACCACUGUCGGGAGUUAAGAAAUGCAAGGGUGCUAAUAGUAUCCUUGCUUGACUAAGGCUCCGGAGGAAGCCACGGCUAACUCUGUGCCAGCAGCCGCGGUAAUACAGAGGCGGCAAGCGUUGUUCGGAAUUAUUGGGCGUAAAGAGCACGUAGGCGGCUAUGUAAGUCGGUUGUGAAAGCCUUCCGCUCAACGGAAGAACAGCAUCCGAUACUGCAUGGCUUGAGUGCGGGAGGGGAGAGUGGAACUUCUGGUGGAGCGGCGAAAUGCGUAGAUAUCAGAAGGAACGCCGGCGGCGAAAGCGGCUCUCUGGCCCAUAACUGACGCUGAGUGUGCGAAAGCUAGGGGAGCAAACGGGAUUAGAUACCCCGGUAGUCCUAGCCGUAAACGAUGGGCACUAAGUAGAGGGGUUUU